CUUGUCAACAAUGUCUCCUCCUGAGUCAAAUAUGUUACGUGUUGAUUUUCGAUCAGCUCAUGUUCUUUAUCUCAAUAAUUUGGAGGAGGAUGCUAUGUAUAAGCGAUGGCGAAGUAACAUAAAUGAGAUUUUGAUGCCUGUCUUCCCUGGGCAACUGCGUUACAUCCGCAAGAACUUGUUCCAUGCAGUUUAUGUUCUUGAUCCAGCCACCAGUCACGGUCUUGAGUGCAUCGAUAUGAUUAUAUCCUUGUAUGAGAACAACUUUCCAAUGAGAUUUGGGUUGAUUCUGUAUUCUUCUAAGUUUAUCAAGAAAAUUGAAGAUGGUGGUGGUGAUCUCCAUUUAUCUGCUGUGGAGAAUGACAGUCAAAAGGAGGAUACAUCCAGCUUGAUCAUACGUCUCUUCAUCUAUAUCAAGGAAAACUAUGGAAUUAAAACAGCUUUCCAGUUUCUAGGCAAUAUAAAUAGAUUACGAAUGGAGUCAGCAGAGUCUGUAGAUGAUUCUCCUGAGAUGCACCAUGUGGAAGGAGCAUUUGUAGAAAC
RNAcentral lists this unclassified non-coding RNA (540 nucleotides) under Hevea brasiliensis (rubber tree). The record is from RNAcentral. Lineage: Eukaryota; Viridiplantae; Streptophyta; Magnoliopsida; Malpighiales; Euphorbiaceae.